UGGAAGGGCCAUCGCUCAACGGAUAAAAGGUACUCCGGGGAUAACAGGCUGAUACCGCCCAAGAGUUCAUAUCGACGGCGGUGUUUGGCACCUCGAUGUCGGCUCAUCACAUCCUGGGGCUGAAGUAGGUCCCAAGGGUAUGGCUGUUCGCCAUUUAAAGUGGUACGCGAGCUGGGUUUAGAACGUCGUGAGACAGUUCGGUCCCUAUCUGCCGUGGGCGCUGGAGAACUGAGGGGGGCUGCUCCUAGUACGAGAGGACCGGAGUGGACGCAUCACUGGUGUUCGGGUUGUCAUGCCAAU
RNAcentral lists this ribosomal RNA (300 nucleotides) under Escherichia coli. RNAcentral's name for it is "partial 23S ribosomal RNA". It matches the Rfam family "Bacterial large subunit ribosomal RNA", at positions 2434 to 2733 of the family's 2925-position model. Lineage: Bacteria; Pseudomonadati; Pseudomonadota; Gammaproteobacteria; Enterobacterales; Enterobacteriaceae. The record is from RNAcentral.